RNAcentral lists this long non-coding RNA (812 nucleotides) under Taeniopygia guttata (zebra finch). RNAcentral describes it as "lncRNA (ENSTGUG00000021474.1)". The record is from RNAcentral. Lineage: Eukaryota; Metazoa; Chordata; Aves; Passeriformes; Estrildidae.
CUUACCAGGGCUAGGCAUCUGUGGGCUCCAAGGCACCAUCAUGGUCUGCAGAGUCACUGACAAGCACCUGUUCCAAACUGAUGGGAUUCUUGAUGUUAGCCUUCGACACCCUGAUGCCAUCUCUUCCUAUGCCACUUCUGAUGCAAAGAAGAAAAAAAUACUACAAAAUCCUACAAUUCAAAAGAUUGUGGCCUUCUACACAUCCUUCUCUCCAUUUCUUCUCAUUCCUGGCUCCAGACUUUCUUUGUAAAGUGAAGCAACUCAACAACACAAUUUCUGUCCUUUCUUUCCCCAAGCAAAACUAACAAAUGUUUUAUAUGACACAUGUUUUGAUAUGCACUUUUUCAUACCAGUAAAUAAAUAAUUUUAAAUAUUGAACAAAACCCUCAAUUCAGUUACUUCAGAAUGGCCUUUCAUUAACUGUAUGUUACCUUGAAAUAUCAUUAAAAGACACUAUAAAGUACAAUUAUUAAAAUUCUUUGAUGCCAUGAUACUUGGACCAUUUAUACUACAGCAAUUGUUAGCUGACAGAUCUUCCCUGGGAAAAAAGAUAAAUUUUACUAUCUUCACUUGUAAAAGGUGAUAUAUUUUCAAUAACUGUAGAAUGUGAUUGUCAGCAGUUAGAUUCUAAUGAGACAGAAGAGUAGUAUAAUGUCAUUCAUUCAUAUUUAUGGAAAUCUGUCUUUGCUGCAGACAUGUACUCCAUUUGUACAGGGACAGCAAGGCUCAAAAAACUGGGGCAACUAAUUGUACUGUCUUUUUCAGUAAUAUUUUUCUAUCACUUUCUCUUGAGUCUGAAAGCCCCGUGAUUU